AGCUUUGUACAGAGGCAGUAUCAUAGCCAAUGAGGUUUAUCUGAGGCACAAUUAUUGCUAGUUGAAACUAUAUAGUCCAGGCUAACCUUGAACUCAAAUCUGUCCUCCUGCCUCAGCCUCCUGAUUUCUGGGAUUACGGGUGUG
Small nuclear RNA from Cavia porcellus (domestic guinea pig), 144 nucleotides. Its record names the gene U4. It matches the Rfam family "U4 spliceosomal RNA". From Rfam's summary of the family: U4 small nuclear RNA (U4 snRNA) is a component of the major U2-dependent spliceosome. The structure of U4 snRNA from yeast and human has been reported. The record is from Ensembl. Lineage: Eukaryota; Metazoa; Chordata; Mammalia; Rodentia; Caviidae.